GAUGAACGCUGGCGGCGUGCUUAAUACAUGCAAGUCGAGCGGAAAGGCGCUGCGUUUGUUGGUCUCUCGAGUGGCGAAGGGGGGAGUAACACGCGAGUAACCCGCCCUUAACUUUGGGAUAACUUCAGGGGACUGCGGAUAAUACCGGAUAGGAGAUCCUGCUCCAUGGGGGGGGUUGGAAAGUGUCGGCGGUUGGGGCUGGACUGGCGGCUUACCCGCUAGUUUGUGGGGUAGUUGAUUACCAAGGCUUUGACGGGUAGCCGGCCUGGGAGCGUGACCGGCCACAUUGGGACUGAGAUACGCCGCAGACUCCUACGGGCGGCAGCAGUGGAGAAUAUUGCACAAUGGGCGCGCGCCUGAUGCAGAGGCCCCGCGUUCGGGAUGACGGCCUACGGGUUAAGAACCGCUUUCGCCUGUAACGAAGCGUGAUUGACGGUAAUGAGUAAAGAAGCACCGGCUAACUACGUG
This 468-nucleotide ribosomal RNA is filed under the name uncultured bacterium. RNAcentral describes it as "partial 16S ribosomal RNA". It matches the Rfam family "Bacterial small subunit ribosomal RNA", at positions 28 to 507 of the family's 1533-position model. The record is from RNAcentral.